Molecule: ribosomal RNA, 433 nt
Filed under: uncultured bacterium
Lineage: Bacteria
Description: partial 16S ribosomal RNA
Rfam family: Bacterial small subunit ribosomal RNA
Source: RNAcentral
AACGAACGCUGGCGGCAUGCCUAACACAUGCAAGUCGAACGAGACCUUCGGGCCUAGUGGCGCACGGGUGCGUAACGCGUGGGAACCUGCCCUUAGGUUCGGAAUAACUCCCCGAAAGGGGUGCUAAUACCGGAUAAUGUCUUCGGACCAAAGAUUUAUCGCCUUUGGAUGGGCCCGCGUUGGAUUAGCUAGUUGGUAGGGUAAAAGCCUACCAAGGCGACGAUCCAUAGCUUGUCUGAGAGGAUGAUCAGCCACACUGGGACUGCGACACGGCCCAGACUCCUACGGGAGGAAGCAGUGGGGAAUAUUGGACAAUGGGCGAAAGCCUGAUCCAGCAAUGCCGCGUGAGUGAUGAAGGCCUUAGGGUUGUAAAGCUCUUUUACCCGGGAUGAUAAUGACAGUACCGGGAGAAUAAGCUCCGGCUAACUCCGUG